AAGGGGGAGAAUAGGAGGCCUGGCAAGGAUCCCCAGGCAGGCCUGGUUGAUGGUGGGACAGUGUCAAGUGGUGUAGGGGAUUAAGGGGUGAUUGGUAUCGGGGUUGAGGGGUCGAACUCUACUGAGGUUUCCCACAUGCGUAUUGUUGCUAAGCUAAAAAAGGCAAUGCAGGGGUGGGACGGCUCACUACAUUCAUAUGGUGCCAAGCUAGGGGUGUGCAGAAGCACCCCUUCGGAUCCUUGAUAUGCAUAUUCUUGUUUGGAAUUGCCGGAGAG
This 275-nucleotide long non-coding RNA is filed under the name Phoenix dactylifera (date palm). Its description in RNAcentral is "long non-coding RNA (PDAC_LNC007316)". The record is from RNAcentral. Lineage: Eukaryota; Viridiplantae; Streptophyta; Magnoliopsida; Arecales; Arecaceae.